GAUGAAGAACGCAGCGAAAUGCGAUACGUAAUGUGAAUUGCAGAAUUCAGUGAAUCAUCGAGUCUUUGAACGCACAUUGCGCCCCCUGGUAUUCCGGGGGGCAUGCCUGUUCGAGCGUCAUUUCACCACUCAAGCCUCGCUUGGUAUUGGGCAACGCGGUCCGCCGCGUGCCUCAAAUCGACCGGCUGGGUCUUCUGUCCCCUAAGCGUUGUGGAAACUUUCGCUAAAGGGUGUUCGGGAGGCUACGCCGUAAAACAACCCCAUUUCUAAGGUUGACCUCGGAUCAGGUAGGGAUACCCGCUGAACUUAAGCAUAUCAAUAAGCGGAGGA
Molecule: unclassified non-coding RNA, 330 nt
Filed under: soil metagenome
Description: partial contains 5.8S ribosomal RNA, internal transcribed spacer 2, and large subunit ribosomal RNA
Rfam family: 5.8S ribosomal RNA (bases 1-120)
Source: RNAcentral